CGAUGAAGGGGAGGAGCUCUCCCGGCUCCGGUGACACCGUCACCAAGGCAACGCGGCCAUACUGGCCCCAACGGACCUGGGGCCUGGGCUGCGGCGGCGCGGCCUCGUGGGCAGAGCCGGCGGCAUGGACAGCCUCUUCGUGGAGGAGGUGGCAGCCUCCCUGGUCCGGGAGUUCCUCAGCAGAAAGGGCUUGAAGAAGACAUGUGUGACCAUGGACCAGGAACGCCCACGAUCUGACCUCAGCAUAAACAGCAGAAAUGAUCUCCGCAAGGUUUUGCAUCUUGAAUUUCUCUACAAGGAGAACAAGGCCAAGGAUAAUCCUCUAAAAACAAACCUUGAACUCAUUACCAGAUACUUUCUGGAUCACUUUGGAAAUACUACUAACAAUUUCACUCAAGAAGUGCCAAUCCCUGCACUCCCAGUUCCAAAGAAAAAUAACAGAUUAUCAUCAAGAUGCCCAGAGACCACACUGGUCAAUAUAUAUGACCUUGCGGACGAAGAUGCGACAUGGAAAUCGUCACUGUCAGAAACCAGCAAAGCCAGGCACGAUAAUCUCGAUGGGGAUUUACUUGGUAAUUUUCUAUCAUCCAAAAGGCCUCCCCACAAAAGUAAGCCCAUGCAGGCUAUCCCAGGUGAAAGCCCUGCCGUGGCCCCUGCAUGGGAGAAGAUGGACAAGCUUCAGUCGUCAGAGCCUUCCUUGGACACAAAGAGAAUGGGUGAGAAGAUCAGGCCGAAGUCUGGCCUGAUCGUCCGAGGCAUGAUGGCAGGGCCCAUUGCCAGUUCCCCGCAGGAUGCCCUCCGCAGACGCUCCCUGAGGCGGUCCUCAGCCUUGAGCAGCACGAAGCAGCCCUCCGAGGAAGAGAGCCGGAAAGUGCCCGAGCUCUCUGCCCAUGCCCCAGCCUGUCCCAUGGCUCAGGAGGGCCCGGCUUCCAGCCCUGGCUCCAUUUCCAGGAGCCCCCUGGGCCCGCUCAGUGAGCUGACCUCAGAAAAGUGGAGAACCACGCCCAGCAGCCCCCCUCACUUGUCUGGCAAGGGGCUGCUGCGGAGGGGGAGCAGCAGGCGGCGAGAUCUCGAGGAAGAUAGCCUGGCUGUGGACAGUGGCCCAGAGGCCGACGGGAUGCCCUUGAAGUUCUCCUUGCCAGGUGGGAGUGCCAGGCCAACCCAGGAGAGGCUGGAAAGAACAUUCACCAGGCAAGGGAGCCAGCCCCUGCCCCUCAGGAAAAAUCAGUUGCCAGCGUCCAACAAGGCUGAUGGCGAACUGAGUGUCCUCCAACUUGAGGAUGUGGAGGAUGAAUUGAUAAAGGAAGAAGUCAUCCUGCCUCCAGUCCCAUCGAUGCUCAAGCUGCAAAUAGUGUCAAAGCCAAUCGACCUCUCAGUGGCCAAGGACAUAAAGGCCCUUCUGUUUGGCUCCAGCCUUUGCUGUUUCAACGAGGAAUGGAAGCUUCAGAGUUUUUCCUUUAGUGACAAAGCCUCAUUAAGAUACGGCAUCGUGCAGAACAAGGGGGGUCCCUGCGGUGUUCUGGCAGCUGUCCAAGGCUGUGUCCUACAAAAACUCCUGUUUGAAGGAGAUAGUGAAGCUGACUGCGUUCGGCAGCUGCAGCCUUCCAGUGCCCGCAGGAGUCACUGCCUUGCCUUGGCCAUCGCGGACAUCGUGUGGCGGGCCGGGGGCCGGGAAAGAGCCGUGGUCACACUGGCUUCGGGAACACAGCAGUUCAGUCCAACAGGGAAAUACAAAGCAGAUGGAGUCUUAGAAACACUCACGCUGCACAGUUUGACCUGCUAUGAGGAGUUGGUGACUUUUCUCCAACAAAGCAUCCAUCAGUUCGAAGUGGGUCCCUACGGAUGCAUCCUCCUCACGGUGUCUGCCAUCCUGUCCAGGUCCAUGGAGCUUGUCCGCCAGGACUUCGAUGUCCCCACCAGCCACCUGAUUGGAGCACACGGAUACUGCACCCAGGAACUCGUCAAUCUGCUCCUGACCGGGAAAGCCGUGUCCAAUGUUUUCAACGACGUCGUGGAGCUGGAUUCUGGGAACGGGAACAUCACUCUGCUCAAGGGCAUUGGUGCGCGCAGUGACGUCGGGUUCUUAUCUCUCUUCGAGCACUACAACGUGUGCCAGGUGGGCUGUUUCCUGAAGACGCCGAGGUUCCCCAUCUGGGUGGUGUGCAGCGAGAGCCACUUCAGCGUCCUCUUCAGCCUGCAGCCAGAGCUCCUGCGGGACUGGAGGGCCGAGAGGCUCUUCGACCUGUACUAUUACGAUGGCCUGGCCAACCAGCAGGAGCAGAUCCGGCUGACCGUUGACACCACCCAGACCAUCCCUGAGGACAGAGACAAUGACCUCGUCCCACCCAUCGAGCUCUGCAUCAGAACCAGGUGGAAGGGGGCAGCGGUGAACUGGAACGGCUCAGACCCCAUCUUGUGACCCUUCCUGUGGGUCCGGAAGUGAGAAGACCCACAGCACGGCCACCACCUCUGCAAGAAUGAACCAGAGGCGAGUGCCUCCCUGCAGGUGGCUCUUCUCCACCCGAGGCACAGAGUUUUCUAAAGAGACUGUGGGUUCUUUGUGGCAGUGGCACAGUAAGAAGAGCAGCUUCCAGAAGAACCACAAGGAUUCCCUGGGGGUCAGAGCUGGGCCAAGGCUUUGUGGGGGCCCCGUGGAUGAUCCUCUCUGGUCACGGAGCCCUUUUGGGAGCCUAACCUUGCAGGAGGCCGUCAAACUGCCAAGCCUAUUUGCAGCCGCCUCUAGUGCUCUGCCUCCCUUCAGGACAGCCUAAGAGAUUCUGGAUUUGUCCAGCAUACUGCCUGAGGUCCUGAACCUUAACAUCCGUCUGAGGACCUGUGCACCCAGCUCUGGACAAAGCCUGAGGUUCUCCCACAGCAUCGGUGGGGCUAGAGUCCAGAUUGUCCUGGGAACAGCCAGCUCUGACUGGAAAGUGGGCCUCACUGGGCACGUCAGGAAUAAGGCACAUCUGGAAAAUCAUUUUCUGAGACCGUUGCUCUGGGAGGGCCAGACAGUGCCCGGGACUGAGUGGCUUCAGGCCCCGCCCAGGACUCAGGAGUCGGUGGGGAGGGCAGUCCCCCUUAUUUAGCCUGGCUCAGGCCUGUGGGAUCAGGCCUGGGCCCAUGCCACUGGCCAUGGGAGGGAGGGACUCGGUUGCUCACCGAGUCAGGUCACCCUGGAGGAGGAGCUGGUCAGGGGGCGGCACCCUGCCCCAGAGCCCAAGCUCCCGGGGCUGGUGGGACUACGCGGGGUGAGGGCGUAGCUCUGGCCUUCCCUGGCUUCCCUGUGCGUCCACUCUCAGCUCAAUGCUUCCUUCCCCAUCUGCCCCUCAUCCCACCCCAAUUAUACAGAGAAGUCGGGGACGGUCUUCUCAUUAUUACCCCCACGUCCCCGACCCAUCCUGGGGUCCGGAUCCCUCAGUCCUGUACUUGUAACUGGGCCAUCAAAACUCAGGAUUCCAUCUGGGAAACGGGGCCAUCAGGAGCCUUCCUUGACAGGCCGGCAGAGAACCAGACUGGGGUUCUGGGAAUUAGGGGGUCCUGAGUUCUAAUCCUAGUUCUGCCACCUUUUAGCAAAUCCCUUACCCUCGGAGCAUUCCAGGGUUGUGGUGGAGACAAGCCGUCAGCCAGGCACGGUUUCCUUUCUCCCCCCUUCCCUCCCUCUCUCCUCACCUCCCUUCCUUCCCUGCUUGGGCAGAAUUUGUGGCAGACCAGGGAGAAGAAGGUCAUGAGGUUCGUGGCCUUCCUGGAUCUGGGCUCCAGGGGCAGUCCUCUUCCUUUGACAUUGACAUUGUCAGGCCGAGGCUGCACAGGCCCCUUGGUAUUGUGGGAGAUGGUGGGUGAGUGAGGUGGGCCUUAUUCCAGAGAGGUCUGCCUUUGGAUGGUGUCUCCUGGUGAUGGCAGAGCCUUGCCCAAGGGAACAGAACAGUGGGCAGCAUGUAAGUCAGAAGCCAUGCUAAUAGGGGGACAGGGUUUGGUGUCCGGGGUAUUGUCCUGAGGACCCUCACAUCAUCCUGACAUUGGUGGGUAGCUGAUUUUCUCUGGCCAAAGUGUUUUGCCUCCUCUGGGUCCCCUGGGUCCAACCCUGCUCCGGAAGGAUGUGGGCCUCUAGCAAGUAUGUGCUCACCCCCGUGCCCGUGACAGUUGCAAGCGCCACCAGCCUGGGUGCACACAUGGAGCCUAUGGGAGGACAAGCAGCUAGGCUAUCUGGUUUAUGGCUGUCUCCCCAAAGAUAAGAACAGGAUGGCACAUGGCAUGCACCAAAUAAAUAUUUGGUGGACAAGUUAGGAUGUCCCACGUGACUCGCACCCACGUAGCACGUUGUGCGUCCUCAGCUACAUGGGUCCUGACCUGGCCCGUGGGCCCUGUCACGGGAGGGUCCUUUUUUUCUCUGAGGUGCUGUACCCCAACACUGGCCUGAGCCCAGUGGUCCUUGUGGGCCUGCUGCCAUCCCCAGGCGUCCAGGCGGAAUCCUUUUACCUGCCAGCAUCCCUCAUCCCUGCAGCAGGUGGGAGGCCGGGACAGAUGUGGGCCCUGUCGGGUCCAGGAAGCUCAGGGGGCUGGAGGACACUGUGGAUGUCCAGGGCCAGGGCACGAGGAGCUCCCUGGGGCAUGGAGAGCCAAACAAGAGCUGCCUUGAGGAAAGGCGUGGCGGGUUCUGGGAAGGAGCCCAGUCGGGCUGGGUCCCUCUCUUGGAGGGUUACUAAGGCACAGAUGACUUCCAGCAGCUGGGACUUUCAGAGCACACAGUGCCCACCCGCCACUGCGCUGACCCCCAGCCUUGCAUCCCCAUCCAGUACCUUCGGGCAUGCAGGUGGACUUCGGUGACCGCAGCCCCCCACCCUCAGUGGACCUCCUGCUCCCAGAGAAUCCCAGGCUGCUUCCUGGGCGCUUCAUCCCUGCUCCAGGGUGGCUGUAAUGUGUGCCACAGGUGGGCCAAAGGGCGGCCCAUAGGCGCUGGUAUCGUCAUCCGUGGAUGGCCCGCACACAGGAGGCGUGAGACCUGCAUGCUCAUCCUGGCCCUGCCCUUGGCGCAUGCAGAAUUUAGAGCUGCCUUUCCCCUUGCUGAGCCUCAGUUUGCCUCCUGUAAAAUGGGGAGAAGCCAACACUCACGUGUAGGACUGAGGAGGGGCCUGCGGAAGGUGGAAGGAGAGAACCAGAGAGGGCCCCUCCCUCCCAGGCUUGGCUCCGCCCCCCCCCGCCCCCCGCCGUGUGCCGCCUGGCUGCUCUUCCUCUCUACCGGCCCCAGGCAGGCAGGAGCUCCAGGCUGUGGGAGUCCAAUUGCUUGUACAGCUAAACGGCUGCUGUGGGGUCUCUGAUAGGGCACAGGCUGGACCAUAGGGCUCUGCAGAGUGGCCUCUUCCCCUCCCCUCCCCCCAUCUUUCCCCUUUAGCUUCUUGCCUCUGGUUCCAGUCUUAUCUCCUCUUUUUCCAGUUUGUCUCCUCACCCUCUGUGCUCCCUGCCUAUCUCUCCCUCUCAGCCUGGCCUGAGAUCUCUCUUUCACUUCCACUGUUGUGGGCAUUCUGCUUCCCUUUUCCUCUUUCAUUCUGUCCGUCCGUCUUCUGCUGUCUGUCUGUCUUCUCUCUUCCCUUC
Mustela erminea (ermine) is the source of this 5589-nucleotide RNA transcript. It is a transcript of the gene named MINDY lysine 48 deubiquitinase 4, with no coding region annotated. The transcript has 23 exons. The record is from RefSeq and is a predicted model, not a curated record. Lineage: Eukaryota; Metazoa; Chordata; Mammalia; Carnivora; Mustelidae.